UUUAUUAAGAGUUUGAUCCUGGCUCAGGAUGAACGCUGGCGGCGUGCCUAAUACAUGCAAGUCGAGCGAGAUGUUAGUGCAUGAACCUUCGGGGGAUUAUAUUAACGGACAGCGGCGGACGGGUGAGUAACGCGUAGGCAACCUGCCCUUGACAGAGGGAUAGCCAUUGGAAACGAUGAUUAAAACCUCAUAACACCGUAGAAGCACAUGCUUCAACGGUCAAAGAUUUAUCGGUCAGGGAUGGGCCUGCGUCUGAUUAACUAGUUGGUGAGGUAACGGCUCACCAAGGUGACGAUCAGUAGCCGACCUGAGAGGGUGAUCGGCCACAUUGGAACUGAGACACGGUCCAAACUUCUACGGAAGGCAGCAGUAGGGAAUCUUGCACAAUGGGCGAAAGCCUGAUGCAGCAACGCCGCGUGAAGGAUGAAGGCCUUCGGGUUGUAAACUUCUGUUCUAAGGGAAGAAACAAAUGACGGUACCUUAGGAGCAAGCCCCGGCUAACUACGUGCCAGCAGCCGCGGUAAUACGUAGGGGGCAAGCGUUAUCCGGAAUUAUUGGGCGUAAAGAGUGCGUAGGUGGUUACCUAAGCGCAAGGUUUAAUUUAGAGGCUCAACCUCUACUUGCCUUGCGAACUGGGCUACUUGAGUGCAGGAGGGGAAAGCGGAAUUCCUAGUGUAGCGGUGAAAUGCGUAGAUAUUAGGAGGAACACCAGCGGCGAAGGCGGCUUUCUGGACUGUAACUGACACUGAGGCACGAAAGCGUGGGUAGCAAACAGGAUUAGAUACCCUGGUAGUCCACGCCGUAAACGAUGACACUAGGUGUUGGGUCCGUUAGGGCUCAGUGCCGCAGUUAACGCAAUAAGUGCUCCGCCUGGGGAGUACGCUCGCAAGAGUAAAACUCAAAGGAAUUGACGGGGACCCGCACAAGCAGCGGAGCAUGUGGUUUAAUUCGAAGCAACGCGAAGAACCUUACCAGGGCUUGACAUCCUGCUGACAGGAUCUUAACCGAUCCCUUCUUCGGACAGCAGAGACAGGUGGUGCAUGGUUGUCGUCAGCUCGUGUCGUGAGAUGUUGGGUUAAGUCCCGCAACGAGCGCAACCCUUGUCGCUAGUUACUAACAUUCAGUUGAGGACUCUAGCGAGACUGCCGAGGUCAACUCGGAGGAAGGUGGGGAUGACGUCAAAUCAUCAUGCCCCUUAUGUUCUGGGCUACACACGUGCUACAAUGGUCGGUACAAUGAGAGGCAAUACUGCGAAGUGGAGCGAAUCACCAAAACCGAUCCCAGUUCGGAUUGUAGGCUGCAACUCGCCUACAUGAAGUUGGAGUUGCUAGUAAUCGCAGAUCAGAAUGCUGCGGUGAAUGCGUUCCCGGGUCUUGUACACACCGCCCGUCACACCAUGGAAGUUGGGGGUGCCCGAAGUCGGCUAAUUAAUCUGUCGCCUAAGGCAAAACCAAUGACUGGGGUGAAGUCGUAACAAGGUAGCCGUUCGAGAACGAGCGGCUGGAUCACCUCCUUU
Molecule: non-coding RNA, 1516 nt
Organism: Mogibacterium pumilum
Lineage: Bacteria; Bacillati; Bacillota; Clostridia; Peptostreptococcales; Anaerovoracaceae
Source: Rfam